RNAcentral lists this ribosomal RNA (460 nucleotides) under uncultured bacterium. RNAcentral describes it as "partial 16S ribosomal RNA". It matches the Rfam family "Bacterial small subunit ribosomal RNA", at positions 338 to 795 of the family's 1533-position model. The record is from RNAcentral.
CCUACGGGAGGCAGCAGUGAGGAAUAUUGGUCAAUGGGCGCGAGCCUGAACCAGCCAAGUCGCGUGAGGGAUGACGGUCCUACGGAUUGUAAACUUCUUUUGCCGGGGAGCAAGCGUGCGUUCGUGAACGCGCGUCGCGAGUACCCGGAGAAAAAGCAUCGGCUAACUCCGUGCCAGCAGCCGCGGUAAUACGGAGGAUGCGAGCGUUAUCCGGAUUUAUUGGGUUUAAAGGGUGCGUAGGCGGGAUGCCAAGUCAGCGGUAAAAGUGCGGUGCUCAACGCCGUCGAGCCGUUGAAACUGGUGUUCUUGAGUGGGCGAGAAGUAUGCGGAAUGCGUGGUGUAGCGGUGAAAUGCAUAGAUAUCACGCAGAACUCCGAUUGCGAAGGCAGCAUACCGGCGCCCUACUGACGCUGAGGCACGAAAGCGUGGGUAUCGAACAGGAUUAGAUACCCCUGUAGUC